GACGAACGCUGGCGGCGUGCUUAACACAUGCAAGUCGAGCGGUAAGGCCCUUUCGGGGGUACACGAGCGGCGAACGGGUGAGUAACACGUGGGUGACCUGCCCUCAGCUCUGGGAUAAGCCCGGGAAACUGGGUCUAAUACUGGAUAUUACUCUGCGGUGCAUGCCGUGGGGUGGAAAGCCUUGUGCGGCUGGGGACGGGCCCGCGGCCUAUCAGCUUGUUGGUGGGGUGAUGGCCUACCAAGGCGACGACGGGUAGCCGGCCUGAGAGGGCGACCGGCCACACUGGGACGUGAGACACGGCCCAGACUUCUACGGGAGGCAGCAGUGGGGAAUCUUGCGCAAUGGGCGAAAGCCUGACGCAGCGACGCCGCGUGAGGGAUGACGGCCU
This 389-nucleotide ribosomal RNA is filed under the name uncultured bacterium. Its description in RNAcentral is "bacterial SSU rRNA". It matches the Rfam family "Bacterial small subunit ribosomal RNA", at positions 28 to 417 of the family's 1533-position model. The record is from RNAcentral.